RNAcentral lists this long non-coding RNA (1411 nucleotides) under Zonotrichia albicollis (white-throated sparrow). RNAcentral's name for it is "lncRNA (ENSZALG00000014214.1)". The record is from RNAcentral. Lineage: Eukaryota; Metazoa; Chordata; Aves; Passeriformes; Passerellidae.
CCUCGCUGGGCUCCUCCCCCGGCACCACCUCCACCGGCGAGAGCGGGAUCGCCAGCCUGGAGUCCCUGGGCUCCCCCGUGGCCACGCUGCCCCCCAGGAGGAGAGUGAUGUCAGACACUUUCCCAGCACUUGGCAGCAAAUGCCAUCCUGCAGAAGCAUCUCCAGCCAGGCCCAGGGAGGCAGAGGGGGCAGAGCAGCCCCCUGGCACAGGUGUUUUUGGGAGCCCUCCUGGCCCAGCUGCCAGCCAGCCCGUGCCCUGUGUGGCCAAUGGGGAUGCCCAGGGUGCCAGGGAGGGAGCAGAGGCUGCCCCAGGGAGAAGCUUCCAGAACAGCCCUUCCCAUUCCUGUUGUCAUGCAGGGAAGGAAGGAGAGAUAAAAGUGACCUUGUCAAAAUCUGCUCAGGAGAAGCUGAGGAGGAGGAGGAAAGAAGACAAAGAGCACAACCAUAAAGAGCAGCAGGAAGGCAAAGACUUGGAAGGGAAGGAAGAAUUCCCUUGGGAAAGGAUUAGACUGAGUAUGAGUGAACCAGAGAAACUCACAGCAGAAAGGUUUAGUCUCUGUGGGGAUUUACUGACAUCACCAAGAAAUGGAUCUUUGUCCUUAGAAAAUGUGGCCUUGAACCCUUCCCUGAAAAGAACCUCCAGUUUGAAGAGGUCCAAGUGUUCAUCCUUGCUGGAUUCUGGUAAGCUGGGACAGUAAACUCUUAAAAUAUUUGGGUAGGUGGAGUGGGACAGUUUCAAAAUACAGUUUAUUUGUGCAGGGGACAGUCCUGAGGUGCUCUGGAAGAUCAGUGCUGUGGGGCUGGAGGGGAUUUAAUUCCUCAGUGGGGAUUCCAUUGAUCAUUUUUCAUCUAUGAGGGAGUUCAUGAAACAUCAGAGGCUUUUAGUUGGAUCAGGAUCUGAAAUGAUACAAUGCAUUAACAGCAAACUGACUACCCCUGUCCCCAAACCCUUCUGGGUACAUUUUGGCACUGAAUUGCCUUUUAAAUAGACAAUAGGAAAAUGUCAAGAGUAGAAGCUCCUACUGAUGGUUCUCAAAGGUGCCAGGGUUUGUCUGGUGUCUCUUCAAGGUUUAUGAGUUAUUAGCACACUGUGUAUCUGUUUUUACACUAAACAACCCCUACCUUUGUGUUGGUGACUCUUAAAAGUGAAGGUUGUGUGCAAAAUUGAAUUUACAUGAAUGAAACUCUGAUUGACUGGGGCUGCCCCUGGAUCCCUGGGAGUGUCCAAGGCCAGGGCUUGGCCUGCCAUGGUGGUGAUGCCCAGAACAGAGGCUGGGCAGAGUGAAAGGAUAAAGCAGGGAUUUGUUAAAAGGAAAUAAUUCCCUCACAGGACACGCCUUGGGCAGUGAUGCUGAUGCCUCCCUGGAGCAGAGCUGGGCACAGUUAAAGGAUAAAGCAGGGAUUUGUUCAA